Prionailurus viverrinus (fishing cat) is the source of this 144-nucleotide small nuclear RNA. RefSeq annotates it as U4 spliceosomal RNA. Lineage: Eukaryota; Metazoa; Chordata; Mammalia; Carnivora; Felidae. The record is from RefSeq and is a predicted model, not a curated record. The transcript has a single exon.
AGCUUUGCGCAGUGGCAGUAUCGUAGCCAAUGAGGUUUAUCCGAGGCGCGAUUAUUGCUAAUUGAAAACUUUUCCCAAAUACCGCUCCUAAACAUUCCCAAGGCAAAUCUCUGAAUUCUGCUAGGGAUUCUGAAGCAAGAGCAG